This 497-nucleotide ribosomal RNA is filed under the name uncultured bacterium. RNAcentral's name for it is "partial 16S ribosomal RNA". It matches the Rfam family "Bacterial small subunit ribosomal RNA", at positions 28 to 507 of the family's 1533-position model. The record is from RNAcentral.
GAUGAACGCUGGCGGCGUGCCUAAUACAUGCAAGUCGAGCGAACAGACGAGGAGUUUGCUCCUCUGACGUUAGCGGCGGACGGGAGAGUAACACGUGGAUAACCUACCUAUCAGACUGGGAUAACUUCGGGAAACCGGAGCUAAUACCGGAUAAUAUAUUGAACCGCGUGGUUCAAUAGUUAAAGAAGGUUUUUCUUUGACUAAUAGAUGGAUCCGCGCCUCAUUAGCUAGUUGGUAAGGAGACGGCUUAGCAAGGCAACGACGCGUAGCCGACCCGAGAGGGUGAUCGGCUACACUGGAAGUGAGACACGGUCGCGACUCCUACGGGAGGCAGCAGUAGGGAAUCUUCCGCAAGGGGGGAAAGCCUGACGGAGCAACGCCGCGUGAGUGAUGAAGGUCUUCGGAUCGUAAAGCUCUGUUAUUAGGGAAGAACAAAUGUGUAAGUAACUGUGCACGUAUUGACGGUACCUAGUCAGAAAGCCACGGCUAACUACGUG